Molecule: long non-coding RNA, 2125 nt
Organism: Ursus maritimus (polar bear)
Lineage: Eukaryota; Metazoa; Chordata; Mammalia; Carnivora; Ursidae
Source: Ensembl
GAGACAUCCAUGGUCUCUACGGGGAAAAUGAAAAAACUUCUUAAAAGACUUAAAGAAGGGGGCGCCUAGGUUCCUCGGUCGGUGAAGUGUCUGCCUUCGGCUCAGGUCAUGAUCUCAGGGUCCUGGGAUUGAGUCCCACAUCGGGCUCCUUGCUCAGCAGGGAGUCUGCUUCUCCCUCUGCCCUCCCCCUCCCGCCCCCCCCCCCCAUUCACUCACACACACACUCUCUCUCAAUAAAGUCUUAAAAAAAAAAAAGACAUUAAAGAAGUCCUGAAUGAAUGGAGAAACAAUCCCUGUUUAUAAGUCAAAAGGCUGAUUAUUAUAAAGAUAUCAAUUUCCCUCAAAUGAUCUGUGGUUUAAUACCACCCCAACAAAAUCCCCAAGAGUUUUUUUCCCAUGGAAUAGGCCAAGCUGAUUCCAGUACAUAUAUGGGGAAAUACAAAGAACCGAGAGUAGUCAAGACUCUUUAAAAAAAAAAAAAAAAAAAGGGGGGGGGAUGGGGUUUAGCGGAUGUCAAGGUUCAUUCUAAAGCUGUGGUCAUUGGGACAGGCUGGUGCGGGCACAGGGCUCAGCACCGACUAAUGGAAAAGCCCGCAGACAGACUUGUGCUCCGUCUAAACACCCUUGUCUGAGGGCAGAGAAAGCUUGGCAGAGCCGAGGGGAAGGCAGACCGUGACCCCUGGAGGUGAGCGAUGGGGGUACAGCCUGGUCGCUGGCCACCAGGCAGGGAGUUGCUUGUCCGAGCUUUGUGACGUCACCCCCUGCCCCAGCCUCAGCCUUCCCACCUGUGCAGUAAGCAGAUGGAACUAGAAAGCCAGAGGGACCCUUUCCAGCUGCGGUUUACCUGAUCCUGAGUGGAACGAGGUGGCCAUCGUCUGCCGGCAGAAAGCCAGUGCAUUAGGCAGGCGGCACCACUGACAACCUCUUGAUGCUUCUUCCUUUUGUCCUUCUCAAGGUGUCCUCUAAACCGAGCGCUGACGAGCACCCCGAGAGCGGCAGAGUCUCCAGAGCCCCAGGCAGCAGCCACAGGAGGCCAGAGAGACAGUCGGGCAUCUCGGCCAUCUCAUACGACUACUCGGAAGAGGAGCUGAUGGCCAGCAUCGAGCAGGAGUAUUGUCGCUGAGGCCACCGGAGCAGCCCUGCAGGCCCCCGCCCCAGCCAGCCGAGGCUGCUCCUCUGCCCCCCACCCCGCCUGACCCCCCGCCUGACCAGACUGGGGUUGCAGCCCCGCCCCUGCCCAGGCUCUGGCUGGAGCUGAGCCCCCUCCAACAUGCAGUUACUCCUGGUUCUUUCAAAAGAUCCGGCUUCAAGCUUGCUGGCAAAGGGUGGUCAGCCAGCAGACUCCCAGCUACUCCUCUCUCAGUCUCUGGGGAGGGCUUGUCUCCGGGGUUCUCCUGGAGCCUGAAAUGCUUUCCUGGCCGGAUGGCCCUCUCUGCACCAGGACUGGGGACAGCUCACCAGUGAGUGUGGCCCAGACUGGCUCCCUUGGGGCCUCUAAGGCGUCCCCCAGCACCUGACGGCACCCAGGCAGUGUGCUUUCCUGAGCUGGGGGGAGUCACCCUGGUUUUGCCCCGCAGCUGCCUGGAGAUGUUGGUUCUGUGGGUCUGGGGCGGGGCCGGAGAGUCUGAAUUUCUAACCAGCCCCCAGGUGAGACCCGAGCUCCUGGACCCCAGCCUGGCACCGGGUAGGAAGGCCUGAGUCUAAGCUUUAGACCUUAACUGACUCUUCCUUCCUGGCACUGGGGCUGCUCAGAGCCACAGCCCCCCUGCCCCCCUGGAGAGAGGCCUGCUCCCCUCCUCGGCAGGUGUGAUGGACAGAGAGCACAGGGCUGGGAGCUGGAGCCUCAGUUCUGAUCCUCGCCCUUGCACUAACGUGCCUGUGCGCCUCAGUUUCCCUCUCUAGAAAUGGAGUCCUGGAGGCUCUUCCAGGCAUUCCAGCCCCGACAGUCUGGGAUCAGGCAAUUCCAGGCUUCCUUGAUCUGUGCUGUUCUGCCAGCCCCCUGGGGCACAGAGCUGCCCCUGCAGCUUUGGGGGAGCACCCCGGCCCCAACUGGAGGAGGUCCUGAGGAACACCUGCUCUCACCAGCCCGAGGGGACCGGUUUACUCUCUUCCCACCUGGGAGAAG